UAGCUCAGUGGUAGAGCACUUCCCUGGCAUGAAUGAGGCACUGGGUUCAAACCCCAG
This 57-nucleotide transfer RNA is filed under the name Mus musculus (house mouse). It matches the Rfam family "tRNA", at positions 8 to 63 of the family's 71-position model. From Rfam's summary of the family: Transfer RNA (tRNA) molecules are approximately 80 nucleotides in length. RNAcentral also lists the same sequence under 1 other name. Lineage: Eukaryota; Metazoa; Chordata; Mammalia; Rodentia; Muridae. The record is from Rfam by way of RNAcentral.